UCCAUUUUUACAAGCGGGAGAAUUUCCCCCCUUGCCUGCCUGUACUUUUCUCCCCCAAAUCGAUUUCUCUCUCUUUCCAUCCCAAAAUUCCCUUUGUUGCUCUCUUCCCGGCCCUAAAUCUCCCCCUCGAAGGUUCCGGCACUAAGGUUUCCGGCGUGAAGGUGGUUUCCAGCAUGAAAGUGGGUUCCUGCGUGAAGAUUUUUUCCGGCAUGAUGCCUUUUUCAGACGUGAAGCUUUUUUCUGGUGUGAAACUGGUUUGCGACUUCUUUGCAACAGUUUACACAUAAGGAAAGUUUGCAAAACAUUAGAGGAGGAUGCUUUAAGCCAAUUUUGCAUCACUAUGAUGGUCCCAAGUUUUGGCUUGAGCUGUCUAUCCCUAAGAUAGCAAGGAAAGUUUUGGAUGCGGCUACGCAUUGUGUGUGAUAACCGAUGAAAUCUGGUGUUAACGACGACAUUUGCUCAGGUUCCGGCCAGAUUAAGGUUCCGGUUGAUAUUUGGUCAAGCUCUUUUGUCUUGCAGGUCUGAUCUUAGAGGUGACGUUGGCCGCCGAUGAAAGUGGAGGUGGUGUUCGACAGUUGCAACGGUACAAGUCAGGGGAUCUCAC
This 604-nucleotide long non-coding RNA is filed under the name Helianthus annuus (common sunflower). Its description in RNAcentral is "sRNA HanXRQr2_Chr03g0096401". Lineage: Eukaryota; Viridiplantae; Streptophyta; Magnoliopsida; Asterales; Asteraceae. The record is from RNAcentral.